ACAAUGGAGAGUUUGAUCCUGGCUCAGGAUGAACGCUAGCUACAGGCUUAACACAUGCAAGUCGAGGGGAAACGAUAUUGGAAGCUUGCUUCCGAUAGGCGUCGACCGGCGCACGGGUGAGUAACGCGUAUCCAACCUGCCCACCACUUGGGGAUAACCUUGCGAAAGUAAGACUAAUACCCAAUGACGUCUCUAGAAGACAUCUGAAAG
RNAcentral lists this ribosomal RNA (210 nucleotides) under Segatella copri. RNAcentral describes it as "partial 16S ribosomal RNA". It matches the Rfam family "Bacterial small subunit ribosomal RNA", at positions 1 to 199 of the family's 1533-position model. Lineage: Bacteria; Pseudomonadati; Bacteroidota; Bacteroidia; Bacteroidales; Prevotellaceae. The record is from RNAcentral.